AGCGAACGUUUGCGGCGGGCCUAACACAUGCAAGUCGAACGCACUAGCAAUAGUGAGUGGCGCACGGGUGCGUAACACGUGGGUAAUCAACCCUUCAGCCUGGGAUAACGACUCGAAAGGGUCGCUAAUACCGGAUACGGCGCGAGAGGCUUCGGCUUCUCACGAGAAAGCCACGCAAGGGGCACUGAAGGACGAGCCUGCGGCCCAUCAGCUAGUUGGUGAGGUAAGAGCUCACCAAGGCUAAGACGGGUAGCUGGUCUGAGAGGAUGAUCAGCCACACUGGAACUGAGACACGGUCCAGACUCCUACGGGAGGCAGCAGUGGGGAAUAUUGCGCAAUGGGCGAAAGCCUGACGCAGCCACGCCGCGUGAGCGAUGAAGGCCUUCGGGGUCGUAAAGCUCUGUGGGGAGAGACGAAGAAAGCCUCGUGAACCGAGCAGGCCUUGACGGUAUCUCCUUAGCAAGCACCGGCUAACUCCGUG
RNAcentral lists this ribosomal RNA (481 nucleotides) under uncultured bacterium. Its description in RNAcentral is "bacterial SSU rRNA". It matches the Rfam family "Bacterial small subunit ribosomal RNA", at positions 29 to 507 of the family's 1533-position model. The record is from RNAcentral.